CCUACGGGUGGCAGCAGUGAGGAAUAUUGGUCAAUGGGCGUAAGCCUGAACCAGCCAAGUCGCGUGAGGGAUGAAGGUUCUAUGGAUCGUAAACCUCUUUUAUAAGGGAAUAAAGUGCUGGACGUGUCCCGUUUUGUAUGUACCUUAUGAAUAAGGAUCGGCUAACUCCGUGCCAGCAGCCGCGGUAAUACGGCGGAUCCGAGCGUUAUCCGGAUUUAUUGGGUUUAAAGGGUGCGUAGGCGGGAUUUUAAGUUAGCGGUGAAAGUCUGGGGCUCAACCCUAGAAGUGCCGUUGAAACUGGGAGGCUUGAGUAUGUUUGAGGCAGGCGGAAUGCGUGGUGUAGCGGUGAAAUGCUUAGAUAUCACGCAGAACUCAGAUUGUGAAGGCAGCCUGCCAAGCCACGACUGACGCUGAUGCACGAAAGCGUGGGGAUCAAACAGGAGUAGAUACCCGGGUAGUC
This 460-nucleotide ribosomal RNA is filed under the name uncultured bacterium. RNAcentral describes it as "partial 16S ribosomal RNA". It matches the Rfam family "Bacterial small subunit ribosomal RNA", at positions 338 to 795 of the family's 1533-position model. The record is from RNAcentral.